GGAGCGCGGCUGGAGCUACUUCAGCCCUCCCUCUCUCAUCCCUCCCGGAUCCGCCGCCGCCCCCUCCCACCGCCUCCGUACGCACGCCCCCGCCAGGGCCCGCGCCGCUUCCCCGAAGGCUCCCAGAACACGGCCAAUGGGGAGAUCAACCGUGGACCUGGAUUAGAUGGUGAGGCACCUACUCGAUACCCCUAAUCUCCGACGGGGCUCGGAAGAGAAGAAAGGCUACAAGACAAGCUCAAAUCGCUUGGUCGCACUGAAUGCUCGCCAGGUUCAGGUUCUGCGCGCUUGCAGCCCUUUUCUCCCCAAAUCGUCAACGUCGGUGUGCCCAGCGUGCAGCUCGCCAAGAUUCAGAAAAGGGGUAGCUAAGCCGCUCCACGGUUCAUAGACGUCUGUUUGGGGUUGAAAGCCACGGAACACCCUGGGUCUGGGAACUCCCACGCCCUGGGUCCCCGCCCUCUUGCAUUCCCCUUCUCCCAAUUCCUGGGGUUCGUGGACCUAGCGAUACCAUCUCCCGCCCCAGAAGAAGAGCCUCCCUAUGCACUCGUCAGGACUGGUGCCUUCUAGCAUCUGCGAAUCGAACCCUUCCUGCCACCAAAGCCAGCCUAGUUCCGGGCAGGUGGCGCCCCAGAAGCUGGCUCUAAAGGGGCCCCGGCGGGAGCUCCUUCCCUUAGAGUGAGAAUGCGCUCUGGGCGUGUCCGUGUGUCCCUUUGUAUGUCUAUGUGUGUUGGGCUUCGUUCCACAUGAACUCCGCCUAGCCUAUUCCUCGCGCUCCGGGACUUCGGGGGAGGUGCCCCAGAGGUGGGCAGCGACUUCUUCGCAUCUCUGAUCGUUUUCUUAUAGACACUAGACACCCGGACCAAGCCACCCGCACACCCACGCCUCUUUUUUUUUUUUUUUUUUUUCUUUUGGAUAGCGGCACUGCCUGGCCGGGAUUCCAGUCCAGGUUCCAAUGCCUCUGGGGACUAUGGACAAGGGUCUGGGCUGCAUCGUGUGCCCCAAGUCAGAACCAGAACUGGGCCUGGGAACUCAUUCCAAGCUCCAAUUAUGUAGAAAGGGAAACUAAGGCAGGGAGAACCCAAAUCGGGUUUUAAAAGACUGAAAGAGCCCCAGCUACCAGCUGGCCUAGUUGGCCCCGCAGACCGCGCCCCCCCCCCACCAUCUUUUCCAAUCAAGCCGUCGACUGGUUGCCCCACAGCCUUUUACAGGGCGCUGAGCCAGACAAGGUCCCGCCCGUGAGUCCGGGAUCCACAGGCAGCCCUCGGACAGAAGAUCCCAGGUGUGGGCAGUGGGCAUCGCCGGCGGUGAGAGUAGAAGCCAGAUUGACAGAGAAGCCAUUAUCCAGGUCUUCUCUGACGCCUCCUCCAAGCCCCAAGCCCCAGGGGCGCCCCACGGCCUACGUUCCACAUCUCCGCAUUUAACCAUCCGGAGUCCGGGCUGCGAGCCUCAGUGGCCCCUGCACGCCCGAUGCAUCAUUGCUAGACCGCCGCUUCCGGGCGCCAGAGGGACCCCUCGGCCCGCACGCGGCCGUCCUGGGCUCGGUGCAGGGAGAGAGUGCGGGACUCCUGCUCCAACGUGUCCACUGCCCUGUACCGAGCACAGGAAUCCGCAGCGCCUCGCGCCCGGGCGCCCCCUAAAUCCCCCACUUGGGACCCAGGAUUAGCCUCGUGCCUCUCUGGGCGGGAUGUGCAACGGAGCCACACUAGCUGAGGCGGAACUCCGGAGGAUUAACCGGGGGCGCUGCGCUGCUUGGAGAUUAGCCCCCAACUCCCAACUCAGUGCGGAGGGACGCGGGGACCCCGCGCAAGCCUAGCGCUUCGGCCCGGCGGCGCCUCCCCCACGCGUCUGACACGAAGCAGUUCCCGACCCGGCCCUGCGGCGAGGCUAUCCCCGCUCAGAGUGCGUGGGCGCGGGAGACUAGCCUGGUCCUUCCCCUGCAGAGAACUUGAGUUUGGUUCCAAGCACAGAAGGCAAAUGGCUCACAGCUGCGUGGAACUCCAGUCCCAGAAGAUCCGUGGUCUCUGACCCCCAUGGGCACCUGUAGCCGUAUGCGUAUAGGAACACACACACACUGAAAUCUGUGGCCUCUUGUCAUGCUGCGACAUGGUGAGACACAAAUCCCCGGCCCAUUGUGCCCCUUCUUACCACGGAGAGUCCCCAAGUGCUGCCCACCAGGCGAACACCGCAUGGCGCUGCUCAUACUCCCUGUGCAGGGAGAACCUGCUACUGCCGCCACUGCCGCCCCUUACCUCAAGGAGGAAGUAGGCUAAACCAGAGGGGACUGCAGCGUGCGAAGACCUGCAAGGGCGGAGGAGGCCCUUCCUGGAGCCCCCAUCAUCUCCCCAGGCUGUGGCCUCCUCCUGAAAAGGCAACUUGGAGCUCCCAACUUCUCUGCACAGCCACACACCUUCCUGCAAGUGUUCUGGGGGGACAGGGUGUCCACACCUGUGACAGGCUUGGAGGACCAGGACCCUCCAUAGGAGUGAGCUCCAGUUGCCCCAGGGUGUCCAUGAGCCUGCAUACCCUGACAUCCCCCUCCAUUCCUGCUCUCUCACCCCUCACUCACUGCCUGUACUCUUCAGCCGCCACCCUCAGCAGCCACCAGCGCCACCAGCGUCAGACUCAGCCCUGGGAGAGCCAGCCACAGAGGGGACACCUGGGGAAGAUGCAGCAGCUCUUGAUCCAGGCUCCAUUCCUGCAAACAACACUUAAGCCUGUUCUGAAGUCGGAGGGAGAACUGUUCAGGCACCCACAAAGGCCUUGCAUUUGGGAAUAGCCAGAGUGGGCGAGCAGGUGCUGAGAAAUCAGACUCAGUGGUCAGCAGAGCUGCACUGUAGAUCACGUGACAACUUUCAGCCCGUGCAAGGACCCCGGGGAGCCCCAGGAAGACCUGGAAUGACUUCUGUUGGCACUAGGCAGGGAACCCAACUGGGUGGGACAAUGGUCAGGAAUCCAGAUGGGGUGGGGAAGGUACCCCAAAUGAUGCCAUCUGGGGAGCCAGGGCCUCAUUCCGUGUGGAUUACAAGGCUGAUCAACACUUAGCCCUUGGCUCUGCCGAUUGGCUGAGAAGCCCCACUGUCUCUCCAUCAGUCUCUGGCCAAGCCACAACUCCUGAAUCCAUGUACUUGUCCUUUCAAUUUUUUUUAAAGAAUUUUUUAUUGGUUUUAUUGAACUAUAUAUUUUUCUCUGCUCCCCUC
Molecule: long non-coding RNA, 3197 nt
Organism: Myodes glareolus (Bank vole)
Lineage: Eukaryota; Metazoa; Chordata; Mammalia; Rodentia; Cricetidae
Source: RefSeq, a predicted model, not a curated record